Molecule: long non-coding RNA, 1275 nt
Organism: Oncorhynchus nerka (sockeye salmon)
Lineage: Eukaryota; Metazoa; Chordata; Actinopteri; Salmoniformes; Salmonidae
Exons: 5
Source: RefSeq, a predicted model, not a curated record
AAGCGUGGCAAAGUAUUGCAGACCGCCUGAAUGCGUAAGUAGUGCACAAUUACACACUCACCGCUCCGCUGAAACAUCACAAUUACAAUUCAAAUAUUUAAUUCACAUCUCCAAAAAUGCAGUUGUACUGUAAUUAUGAAACGGUUAAAUUUUUAAUUGAAAUGCACUGCAGAUAUGAGUGAAAUUGUGUAAAGUAACUCCAUCACACUGUAUAAAGCUAUGAUAAAUUUUUUGAUAUUUUUACUGAAAACAAGACAAAAAUACCAAGUAAUUUUUUGCAGUGUGACUCCAUUAAAUGUGUGUGUGUGUGUGUGUGUGUGUGUGUGUGUGUGUGUGUGUGUGUGUGUGUGUGUGUAGAUUAAACAUGAACGGGCCAAAACGGACAUGGCAGCAGGUCAAAAUCAAAUACAAGAACAUUCUGCAGAAUGCAGUGAAAAAGAAUACCCACAGACAAGGCACGGGUGGUGGGUCACCAAAGGCUGACCUUACCCCAGCAGAGGACAUGGCCUUGGAGCUAAAUAAAGGCAGGCCCGUCUUAGAGGGGAUCCCUGGGGGGAAAGAGACGAGCAUAGGUUCCUCCCAAGAUGCCACCCGCUUCAUUCAAGUGCCUGGCAGCACUGUGUUCCUGUUAGAGCCACCAGCACAAGCACCAGACGAUGCUGAUCCAGGUGAAGGCCCCAGUGCAGCAGCAACAGCACAUGAUGGAGACGAUGAUGAGGAGGAGACCAUCUCUCUGGAUUCCAGAAGGCAUGAGGACCCAGAUGCUAUACAGUGGAAAACCAGCCUGGCAACAUAGUGCGUAUUAAUAAAAGGACACCACAUCCUGCCAAAUUCCAGCUGCGCUAAUUGUAUUGUGUUCACAGAGCUCACAAGCUAUCAGAAAGUUGUAUGGCAACCACCUCCGGCGCCAAAUAGAACUGGCAGACAUAGACAUUCAGUACAAGAAGAAAAAGAUGGAAAAUCUUGCACUGGAGUCCGAAAUAAAAAGAGGACAAUUAGGAAACUGGACCUUGAAAUAAAAAACUUGAGAGGGAGGUGAGAUAUGCCUUCAAUGUACACUGUAUGCUAACUGUAACACAAAUGUAUUAAUCAUUAUUUUUCUUUCCUCCCCAGCUCCAAGAAGAUGACACAGCUCAAAAUAAAAAUUAGGUAUAUUCUCGUAAAGUCAAGUGAGCCAUGACAUAUGAGCUCUUAUUGUGAGCACACAGGACGGUGGCAUCUUUCUAAGGUUUUUUUAAUUUUCCCAGCAAUCAGUACAACCAAGUCAUCGUUAUA